UACGAAGGGGGCUAGCGUUGCUCGGAAUCACUGGGCGUAAAGCGCACGUAGGCGGCUUUUUAAGUCAGAGGUGAAGUCCUGGAGCUCAACUCCAGAACUGCCUUUGAUACUGGAGAGCUUGAGUCCGGGAGAGGUGAGUGGAACUGCGAGUGUAGAGGUGAAAUUCGUAGAUAUUCGCAAGAACACCAGUGGCGAAGGCGGCUCACUGGCCCGGUACUGACGCUGAGGUGCGAAAGCGUGGGGAGCAAACAGG
This 253-nucleotide ribosomal RNA is filed under the name uncultured bacterium. RNAcentral's name for it is "partial 16S ribosomal RNA". It matches the Rfam family "Bacterial small subunit ribosomal RNA", at positions 524 to 776 of the family's 1533-position model. The record is from RNAcentral.